GAUUAAGUUAUUAAGGGCGCACGGUGGAUGCCUUGGCACUAGAAGCCGAUGAAGGACGUUACUAACGACGAUAUGCUUUGGGGAGCUGUAAGUAAGCUUUGAUCCAGAGAUUUCCGAAUGGGGAAACCCAGCAUGAGUUAUGUCAUGUUAUCGAUAUGUGAAUACAUAGCAUAUCAGAAGGCACACCCGGAGAACUGAAACAUCUUAGUACCCGGAGGAAGAGAAAGAAAAUUCGAUUCCCUUAGUAGCGGCGAGCGAAACGGGAAGAGCCCAAACCAACAAGCUUGCUUGUUGGGGUUGUAGGACACUCUAUACGGAGUUACAAAGGACGACAUUAGACGAAUCAUCUGGAAAGAUGAAUCAAAGAAGGUAAUAAUCCUGUAGUCGAAAAUGUUGUCUCUCUUGAGUGGAUCCUGAGUACGACGGAGCACGUGAAAUUCCGUCGGAAUCUGGGAGGACCAUCUCCUAAGGCUAAAUACUCUCUAGUGACCGAUAGUGAACCAGUACCGUGAGGGAAAGGUGAAAAGCACCCCGGAAGGGGAGUGAAAUAGAACCUGAAACCGUGUGCUUACAAGUAGUCAGAGCCCGUUAAUGGGUGAUGGCGUGCCUUUUGUAGAAUGAACCGGCGAGUUACGAUUUGAUGCAAGGUUAAGCAGUAAAUGUGGAGCCGUAGCGAAAGCGAGUCUGAAUAGGGCGUUUAGUAUUUGGUCGUAGACCCGAAACCAGGUGAUCUACCCUUGGUCAGGUUGAAGUUCAGGUAACACUGAAUGGAGGACCGAACCGACUUACGUUGAAAAGUGAGCGGAUGAACUGAGGGUAGCGGAGAAAUUCCAAUCGAACCUGGAGAUAGCUGGUUCUCUCCGAAAUAGCUUUAGGGCUAGCCUCAAGUGAUGAUUAUUGGAGGUAGAGCACUGUUUGGACGAGGGGCCCCUCUCGGGUUACCGAAUUCAGACAAACUCCGAAUGCCAAUUAAUUUAACUUGGGAGUCAGAACAUGGGUGAUAAGGUCCGUGUUCGAAAGGGAAACAGCCCAGACCACCAGCUAAGGUCCCAAAAUAUAUGUUAAGUGGAAAAGGAUGUGGCGUUGCCCAGACAACUAGGAUGUUGGCUUAGAAGCAGCCAUCAUUUAAAGAGUGCGUAAUAGCUCACUAGUCGAGUGACACUGCGCCGAAAAUGUACCGGGGCUAAACAUAUUACCGAAGCUGUGGAUUGUCCUUUGGACAAUGGUAGGAGAGCGUUCUAAGGGCGUUGAAGCAUGAUCGUAAGGACAUGUGGAGCGCUUAGAAGUGAGAAUGCCGGUGUGAGUAGCGAAAGACGGGUGAGAAUCCCGUCCACCGAUUGACUAAGGUUUCCAGAGGAAGGCUCGUCCGCUCUGGGUUAGUCGGGUCCUAAGCUGAGGCCGACAGGCGUAGGCGAUGGAUAACAGGUUGAUAUUCCUGUACCACCUAUAAUCGUUUUAAUCGAUGGGGGGACGCAGUAGGAUAGGCGAAGCGUGCGAUUGGAUUGCACGUCUAAGCAGUAAGGCUGAGUAUUAGGCAAAUCCGGUACUCGUUAAGGCUGAGCUGUGAUGGGGAGAAGACAUUGUGUCUUCGAGUCGUUGAUUUCACACUGCCGAGAAAAGCCUCUAGAUAGAAAAUAGGUGCCCGUACCGCAAACCGACACAGGUAGUCAAGAUGAGAAUUCUAAGGUGAGCGAGCGAACUCUCGUUAAGGAACUCGGCAAAAUGACCCCGUAACUUCGGGAGAAGGGGUGCUCUUUAGGGUUAACGCCCAGAAGAGCCGCAGUGAAUAGGCCCAAGCGACUGUUUAUCAAAAACACAGGUCUCUGCUAAACCGUAAGGUGAUGUAUAGGGGCUGACGCCUGCCCGGUGCUGGAAGGUUAAGAGGAGUGGUUAGCUUCUGCGAAGCUACGAAUCGAAGCCCCAGUAAACGGCGGCCGUAACUAUAACGGUCCUAAGGUAGCGAAAUUCCUUGUCGGGUAAGUUCCGACCCGCACGAAAGGCGUAACGAUUUGGGCACUGUCUCAACGAGAGACUCGGUGAAAUCAUAGUACCUGUGAAGAUGCAGGUUACCCGCGACAGGACGGAAAGACCCCGUGGAGCUUUACUGUAGCCUGAUAUUGAAAUUCGGCACAGCUUGUACAGGAUAGGUAGGAGCCUUUGAAACGUGAGCGCUAGCUUACGUGGAGGCGCUGGUGGGAUACUACCCUAGCUGUGUUGGCUUUCUAACCCGCACCACUUAUCGUGGUGGGAGACAGUGUCAGGCGGGCAGUUUGACUGGGGCGGUCGCCUCCUAAAAGGUAACGGAGGCGCUCAAAGGUUCCCUCAGAAUGGUUGGAAAUCAUUCAUAGAGUGUAAAGGCAUAAGGGAGCUUGACUGCGAGACCUACAAGUCGAGCAGGGUCGAAAGACGGACUUAGUGAUCCGGUGGUUCCGCAUGGAAGGGCCAUCGCUCAACGGAUAAAAGCUACCCCGGGGAUAACAGGCUUAUCUCCCCCAAGAGUUCACAUCGACGGGGAGGUUUGGCACCUCGAUGUCGGCUCAUCGCAUCCUGGGGCUGUAGUCGGUCCCAAGGGUUGGGCUGUUCGCCCAUUAAAGCGGUACGCGAGCUGGGUUCAGAACGUCGUGAGACAGUUCGGUCCCUAUCCGUCGUGGGCGUAGGAAAUUUGAGAGGAGCUGUCCUUAGUACGAGAGGACCGGGAUGGACAUACCUCUGGUGUACCAGUUGUCGUGCCAACGGCAUAGCUGGGUAGCUAUGUGUGGACGGGAUAAGUGCUGAAAGCAUCUAAGCAUGAAGCCCUCCUCAAGAUGAGAUUUCCCAACUUCGGUUAUAAGAUCCCUCAAAGAUGAUGAGGUUAAUAGGUUCGAGGUGGAAGCAUGGUGACAUGUGGAGCUGACGAAUACUAAUCGAUCGAAGACUUAAUCAA
Molecule: ribosomal RNA, 2923 nt
Filed under: Staphylococcus aureus
Lineage: Bacteria; Bacillati; Bacillota; Bacilli; Caryophanales; Staphylococcaceae
Description: 23S ribosomal RNA
Rfam family: Bacterial large subunit ribosomal RNA
Source: RNAcentral